Long non-coding RNA from Coffea eugenioides, 211 nucleotides. RefSeq lists it as uncharacterized. Lineage: Eukaryota; Viridiplantae; Streptophyta; Magnoliopsida; Gentianales; Rubiaceae. The record is from RefSeq and is a predicted model, not a curated record. The transcript is spliced from 3 exons.
AAACAUGUGAAGGACUUGUUCUCCUACUUACAACAACAUCUGAAGGAAGAUUACUACCAGUUUCAAGUUUGUAGCAGCCAUCAUCUUCGAUUCCAUCUAGCGAGCAUUGAUCGUUGAUUCCCUUUCCACUUGGAGCAAAUUGGAGUUGUUGUGUUUGUCAAGGGCACUGCACACUGAGAACCCAAAGUUGCUCAUGGCAGCCUCUGCUGUA